This 253-nucleotide ribosomal RNA is filed under the name uncultured bacterium. RNAcentral describes it as "partial 16S ribosomal RNA". It matches the Rfam family "Bacterial small subunit ribosomal RNA", at positions 524 to 776 of the family's 1533-position model. The record is from RNAcentral.
UACAGAGGGGGCAAGCGUUGUUCGGAAUUACUGGGCGUAAAGGGCGCGUAGGCGGCCUGCUAAGUCGAACGUGAAAUCCCCGAGCUCAACUCGGGAACUGCGUCCGAUACUGGCAGGCUUGAAUCCGGGAGAGGGAUGCGGAAUUCCAGGUGUAGCGGUGAAAUGCGUAGAUAUUCGCAAGAACACCAGUGGCGAAGGCGGCUGUCUGGUCCGGUUCUGACGCUGAGGCGCGAAAGCGUGGGGAGCAAACAGG